UGGGGAAUAUUGCACAAUGGGCGCAAGCCUCAUGCAGCCAUGCCGCGUGUAUGAAGAAGGCCUUCGGGUUGUAAAGUACUUUCAGCGGGGAGGAAGGCGAUAAGGUUAAUAACCUUGUCGAUUGACGUUACCCGCAGAAGAAGCACCGGCUAACUCCGUGCCAGCAGCCGCGGUAAUACGGAGGGUGCAAGCGUUAAUCGGAAUUACUGGGCGUAAAGCGCACGCAGGCGGUCUGUCAAGUCGGAUGUGAAAUCCCCGGGCUCAACCUGGGAACUGCAUUCGAAACUGGCAGGCUAGAGUCUUGUAGAGGGGGGUAGAAUUCCAGGUGUAGCGGUGAAAUGCGUAGAGAUCUGGAGGAAUACCGGUGGCGAAGGCGGCCCCCUGGACAAAGACUGACGCUCAGGUGCGAAAGCGUGGGGAGCAAACA
Molecule: ribosomal RNA, 427 nt
Filed under: uncultured bacterium
Lineage: Bacteria
Description: partial 16S ribosomal RNA
Rfam family: Bacterial small subunit ribosomal RNA
Source: RNAcentral